UGAGGAAUAUUGGUCAAUGGGCGAGAGCCUGUACCAGCCAAGUAGCGUGCAGGAUGACGGCCCUAUGGGUUGUAAACUGCUUUUAUGUGGGGAUAAAGUGCGUGACGUGUCAUGCAUUGCAGGUACCACAUGAAUAAGGACCGGCUAAUUCCGUGCCAGCAGCCGCGGUAAUACGGAAGGUCCGGGCGUUAUCCGGAUUUAUUGGGUUUAAAGGGAGCGUAGGCUGUCUAUUAAGCGUGUUGUGAAAUUUACCGGCUCAACCGGUGGCUUGCAGCGCGAACUGGUCGACUUGAGUAUGCAGGAAGUAGGCGGAAUUCAUGGUGUAGCGGUGAAAUGCUUAGAUAUCAUGACGAACUCCGAUUGCGCAGGCAGCUUACUGUAGCAUAACUGACGCUGAUGCUCGAAAGUGCGGGUAUCAAACAGG
Molecule: ribosomal RNA, 424 nt
Filed under: Fusobacteriota bacterium
Lineage: Bacteria; Fusobacteriati; Fusobacteriota
Description: Fusobacteria bacterium partial 16S ribosomal RNA
Rfam family: Bacterial small subunit ribosomal RNA
Source: RNAcentral